CAGAUGUGAAAGACCCGGGGCGUCAACCUCGGAAUAGCAUUUGAAACUGGCAGACUAGAGUACUGUAGAGGGGGGUAGGAAUUUCAGGUGUAGCGGUGAAAUGCGUAGAGAUCUGAAGGAAUACCGGUGGCGAAGGCGGCCCCCUCGGACAGAUACUGACACUCAGAUGCGAAAGCGUGGGGAGCAAACAGGAUUAGAUACCCUGGUAG
Molecule: ribosomal RNA, 209 nt
Filed under: uncultured bacterium
Lineage: Bacteria
Description: partial 16S ribosomal RNA
Rfam family: Bacterial small subunit ribosomal RNA
Source: RNAcentral